RNAcentral lists this ribosomal RNA (782 nucleotides) under uncultured Burkholderia sp. RNAcentral describes it as "bacterial SSU rRNA". It matches the Rfam family "Bacterial small subunit ribosomal RNA", at positions 111 to 888 of the family's 1533-position model. Lineage: Bacteria; Pseudomonadati; Pseudomonadota; Betaproteobacteria; Burkholderiales; Burkholderiaceae. The record is from RNAcentral.
UAAUACAUCGGAACGUGUCCUGGAGUGGGGGAUAGCCCGGCGAAAGCCGGAUUAAUACCGCAUACGCUCUGAGGAGGAAAGCGGGGGAUCUUUCGGGACCUCGCGCUGCAGGGGCGGCCGAUGGCAGAUUAGCUAGUUGGUGGGGUAAAGGCCUACCAAGGCGACGAUCUGUAGCUGGUCUGAGAGGACGACCAGCCACACUGGGACUGAGACACGGCCCAGACUCCUACGGGAGGCAGCAGUGGGGAAUUUUGGACAAUGGGCGCAAGCCUGAUCCAGCAAUGCCGCGUGUGUGAAGAAGGCCUUCGGGUUGUAAAGCACUUUUGUCCGGAAAGAAAACUUCUGGGUUAAUACCCCGGGAGGAUGACGGUACCGGAAGAAUAAGCACCGGCUAACUACGUGCCAGCAGCCGCGGUAAUACGUAGGGUGCAAGCGUUAAUCGGAAUUACUGGGCGUAAAGCGUGCGCAGGCGGUUCGCUAAGACAGAUGUGAAAUCCCCGGGCUUAACCAGGGAACUGCAUUUGUGACUGGCGGGCUAGAGUAUGGCAGAGGGGGGUAGAAUUCCACGUGUAGCAGUGAAAUGCGUAGAGAUGUGGAGGAAUACCGAUGGCGAAGGCAGCCCCCUGGGCCAAUACUGACGCUCAUGCACGAAAGCGUGGGGAGCAAACAGGAUUAGAUACCCUGGUAGUCCACGCCCUAAACGAUGUCAACUAGUUGUCGGGUCCUCAUUGACUUGGUAACGUAGCUAACGCGUGAAGUUGACCGCCUGGGGAGUACGGUCG